This 87-nucleotide transfer RNA is filed under the name Felis catus (domestic cat). It matches the Rfam family "tRNA". Rfam says of the family: Transfer RNA (tRNA) molecules are approximately 80 nucleotides in length. Their secondary structure includes four short double-helical elements and three loops (D, anti-codon, and T loops). Further hydrogen bonds mediate the characteristic L-shaped molecular structure. tRNAs have two regions of fundamental functional importance: the anti-codon, which is responsible for specific mRNA codon recognition, and the 3' end, to which the tRNAs corresponding amino acid is attached (by aminoacyl-tRNA synthetases). tRNAs cope with the degeneracy of the genetic code in two manners: having more than one tRNA (with a specific anti-codon) for a particular amino acid; and 'wobble' base-pairing, i.e. permitting non-standard base-pairing at the 3rd anti-codon position. Lineage: Eukaryota; Metazoa; Chordata; Mammalia; Carnivora; Felidae. The record is from Rfam by way of RNAcentral.
GCCUGGGUGGCUCAGUCGGUUGAGCGUCCGACUUCAGCUCAGGUCAUGAUCUCUCAUGGUUUGUGGGUUCGAGCCCCGCGUUGGGCU